ACAAUGGGCCUACAGAUCCAGUUCUGGCUGCAUCUAUAAUUCAGAUUUUUAAAUCUCCGACACUUUUCACCAGUCAUUUCAGCGGCCAAAAGUGUCCAAAUCCACCUGAAUUCACCCUAUGUAUAUAAAUAGCUUACAGGGGAUUUUCCAUCGGUGUCUCAGAUGUGCAGAAAUAUUGAAAAUGGCUGAAGCUAAAGACAUGUCAGAAACUAAGCAAGGCAAAGUCAAUAAGAAAAAUUAUCUAUAACUCUAACGCUUCGGCUGAGACUUACUGUACAUAAAACACUAUUAUGACACAUCUGACAGAUGAUGUUGUUCUGUCAUAUCAUCUUAAGCCGGCCAUCAGCGCUGCUUCAAUGGAGAUCAAGUGGUGGAAUAAGGAGGAUCUGGUCUGCCAUUGUAAGGAUGGACAGAUGAUAGAGAGCUGUGAGGGUCGAGCGAGUCUCUCAUUGGAAGAUCUACUCAAUGGAAAUGUGUCUUUGACAUCUCAGAGAUGCCAGAAGAUCAUAGAAUUUCUCUGUAUUUGUGAAGUCAUUCAUGAAUGUCAAACUACAAGAUAGUGUUUUUCUCCAUAUCAGCUGUAAGUAUUUAACUAAACACGUUUGAAAGAUAUUCAACAUAAGUCAGUCAGUCAAAGCUGAAAUUGUUCCACUAACUCAACUGGUAGAGCAUGUCUCCUGAUAAAAUGCAUAGUCAAAUUUAUUUAUAGUUAUCCACAGUGGACAUUGCUUCAAACCAGCUUUUUCAAUCAAUUGAAAAAAAUUGAAAUGCCAUUAAUGAUGUCUUUAUGUUACUGUUAUUCAUGUGUUCCACAAUAUUUCU
Molecule: long non-coding RNA, 822 nt
Organism: Megalobrama amblycephala (Wuchang bream)
Lineage: Eukaryota; Metazoa; Chordata; Actinopteri; Cypriniformes; Xenocyprididae
Exons: 4
Source: RefSeq, a predicted model, not a curated record